RNAcentral lists this ribosomal RNA (627 nucleotides) under Trichoderma asperellum. RNAcentral describes it as "eukaryotic LSU rRNA". The stretch from base 239 to 392 matches the Rfam family "5.8S ribosomal RNA". Lineage: Eukaryota; Fungi; Ascomycota; Sordariomycetes; Hypocreales; Hypocreaceae. The record is from RNAcentral.
UGGAAGUAAAAGUCGUAACAAGGUCUCCGUUGGUGAACCAGCGGAGGGAUCAUUACCGAGUUUACAACUCCCAAACCCAAUGUGAACGUUACCAAACUGUUGCCUCGGCGGGGUCACGCCCCGGGUGCGUCGCAGCCCCGGAACCAGGCGCCCGCCGGAGGAACCAACCAAACUCUUUCUGUAGUCCCCUCGCGGACGUAUUUCUUACAGCUCUGAGCAAAAAUUCAAAAUGAAUCAAAACUUUCAACAACGGAUCUCUUGGUUCUGGCAUCGAUGAAGAACGCAGCGAAAUGCGAUAAGUAAUGUGAAUUGCAGAAUUCAGUGAAUCAUCGAAUCUUUGAACGCACAUUGCGCCCGCCAGUAUUCUGGCGGGCAUGCCUGUCCGAGCGUCAUUUCAACCCUCGAACCCCUCCGGGGGAUCGGCGUUGGGGAUCGGGACCCCUCACACGGGUGCCGGCCCCGAAAUACAGUGGCGGUCUCGCCGCAGCCUCUCCUGCGCAGUAGUUUGCACAACUCGCACCGGGAGCGCGGCGCGUCCACGUCCGUAAAACACCCAACUUUCUGAAAUGUUGACCUCGGAUCAGGUAGGAAUACCCGCUGAACUUAAGCAUAUCAAUAAGCGGAGGA